This 460-nucleotide ribosomal RNA is filed under the name uncultured bacterium. Its description in RNAcentral is "partial 16S ribosomal RNA". It matches the Rfam family "Bacterial small subunit ribosomal RNA", at positions 338 to 795 of the family's 1533-position model. The record is from RNAcentral.
CCUACGGGGAGCAGCAGUGAGGAAUAUUGGUCAAUGGACGAGAGUCUGAACCAGCCAAGUAGCGUGAAGGAUGACUGCCCUAUGGGUUGUAAACUUCUUUUAUAUGGGAAUAAAAUGUUCCACGUGUGGGAUUUUGUAUGUACCAUAUGAAUAAGGAUCGGCUAACUCCGUGCCAGCAGCCGCGGUAAUACGGAGGAUCCGAGCGUUAUCCGGAUUUAUUGGGGUUAAAGGGAGCGUAGGUGGAUUGUUAAGUCAGUUGUGAAAGUUUGCGGCGCAACCGUAAAAUUGAAGUUGAAACUGGCAGUCUUGAGUACAGUAGAGGUGGGCGGAAUUCGUGGUGUAGCGGUGAAAUGCUUAGAUAUCACGAAGAACUCCGAUUGCGAAGGCAGUUCACUGGACUGCAACUGACACUGAGGCUCGAAAGUGGGGGUAUCAAACAGGAUUAGAUACCCCUGUAGUC